UGGGGCAUAGCCAAGUGGUAAGGCAACGGGUUUUGGUCCCGUUAAUCGUAGGUUCGAAUCCUUCUUCCCCAA
RNAcentral lists this transfer RNA (72 nucleotides) under Gastrodia angusta. RNAcentral describes it as "tRNA-Gln". It matches the Rfam family "tRNA". Rfam says of the family: Transfer RNA (tRNA) molecules are approximately 80 nucleotides in length. Their secondary structure includes four short double-helical elements and three loops (D, anti-codon, and T loops). Lineage: Eukaryota; Viridiplantae; Streptophyta; Magnoliopsida; Asparagales; Orchidaceae. The record is from RNAcentral.